AUUGAACGCUGGCGGCAUGCCUUACACAUGCAAGUCGAACGGUAACAGGUCUUCGGAUGCUGACGAGCGGCGAACGGGUGAGUAAUACAUCGGAACGUGCCCGAUCGCGGGGGAUAACGGAGCGAAAGCUUUGCUAAUACCGCAUACGAUCUACGGAUGAAAGCCGGGGACCGCAAGGCCUAGCGCGGACGGUGCGGCCGAUGGCAGAUUAGGUAGUUGGUGGGAUAAAAGCUUACCAAGCCGACGAUCUGUAGCUGGUCUGAGAGGACGACCAGCCACACUGGGACUGAGACACGGCCCAGACUCCUACGGGAGGCAGCAGUGGGGAAUUUUGGACAAUGGGCGAAAGCCUGAUCCAGCCAUGCCGCGUGCAGGAUGAAGGCCUUCGGGUUGUAAACUGCUUUUGUACGGAACGAAAAGACUCUUUCUAAUAAAGAGGGUCCAUGACGGUACCGUAAGAAUAAGCACCGGCUAACUACGUG
This 482-nucleotide ribosomal RNA is filed under the name uncultured bacterium. RNAcentral describes it as "partial 16S ribosomal RNA". It matches the Rfam family "Bacterial small subunit ribosomal RNA", at positions 30 to 507 of the family's 1533-position model. The record is from RNAcentral.